Molecule: long non-coding RNA, 2662 nt
Organism: Pan paniscus (pygmy chimpanzee)
Lineage: Eukaryota; Metazoa; Chordata; Mammalia; Primates; Hominidae
Source: Ensembl
AUGGAGUCAGUCUUUGAAAAUGUUUUCUACCUUAUGAUACUAAGCCUAGUAUCUGGACCACAGAACAAGGACUUUGUAGCAGUUCCAGGUGUUAUGCCCAGAAAAAAAUGUGAAGAGGAAGAAGAAGGAUCAUUACUUAUUGGUACUCUUCAUCAUGAAGAAUUGUUUCCCAGAAUUCCUGCCCUGUUUCUUUUUCUCAAAAGAAAUCUUCUCAAAAUUUAUUUGCCAGAAUUAGGUCAUGUGCCCAUUAUCAAAUCUAUCACUGGCAGAGGGAAUGGGGUCACCACAAUUGGCUUGGACUAAACCUGUCACACGGAGUUUAGCUGCAUUUCCUUCUUCUUUAAAAAAGGUUUUCUUUGUGUGUGUUUUUUUAUUUGUUUGUUUGUUUGUUUUUUAUUAGUAUCUGUGUAUUUUUUGGAAUCUAAUCAAGAAACUUACCUUUGCUAUGGCUAUUAGGGGGUCCACCUGACCCCAAAGUGAGAAUCAUGGGCAGACCGAAGUAGUCUGGCCACCGGAUUUUGUGAAAAGACAAGAAUAUUUUAGGCAGACAUAUUUACAUUCAAAUUCUGACUCAGUCACUAGUGACAUGAGCUUUGCUUACACCUCUUAUGCUUCAGUUUCCUCUUCUAUGAAACCUACCUCACGAGUCUUUUUGCAUGACAAAAUUAAAUAAUGCAGCAUGCCUGGCACAUAGUAGGCACUUACAUACAUGUUAUUAUUGCUAAUAAUAUUAAUAUUAAUAUAAUCAAAAACUAGAAGAAAGACCGUUUGUUGUAUCUUAUCCAAUAUCUUUUUUCGCCUGGUAAUGUUAAGUGUAUAUUACCCUGUUUCCUUUCCAACAAACCCUGUGUCAAUAUAGAUAGUUCUCAUGUUUUACGCAAAUGUAGCUUGAAAAAUAUGUCUGUCCUCAAUGUUCAAAAACAGGGGCAUAGUUAAUUAAAUUGGGGUAAGACUGCAUGGUGAAAAUUUAAACGUUAGUGAUGAUGUUUAUGUAGCAUUUUUAGUAACAUGGGGAAUUAUUUAUGUUAUAAUAUUAAAAAUGUGUUUCCAAAAUAUAUACAUAAUAUGAUCUCAGCUAUGGAAAAGAAAAACAUUCAGUGGAAAAAAGCUUAAAGGGAAGAGCACCAAAUUCAAUAAAAUUUGCAUCUCAUUGGAGAAAUUAUGUGUGAUUUUUUUCCUCUUUAAUUCUGUAUUAUCCUGAUUACAUUUUUCAGUGUGUAGUAGCUAUAAAAUUAAACUUUAUUGAAAAUAGAAAUAUAAAUAUGGACAUAUAGAUAGAUACAUAGAUCUUAUCAGUUAUUGAGCUUCUACCACACAAACAUAGCUUUGUGUUAAACUCACUGUAUAGGCAUUGCCUCAUGAAUUUUGUGCUAAUGUCCCAGGAGGUUGACACCAUUAUUUCUAUUAUUAUUUCCAUAUGAUGACAUUGGGUCUUAACAGAGGUAAGCAAAUUACCAAGAUCGCCCAUUCAUAUGAGGGAGCUGGGUUUAGAGGUGCUAGCCCCCAGCACCUGUGAUUUGGACCACUUCAAAUACCUCUCCCAUUAUAAAGCAGAGACUCUAAGAUAGGGAAUCUUCUAUAGGUGAUUUAAAUAUACAACCAGGUGACCUGAAAGACAUUAUUCAGCGCAGAGAUUCUUUGAUUUCAUGAGAGAGUAAAGUGGAAUGCAUGGUUUGGAUCUGUGAGUGUCCAGCAGAAAUUGAUGUGCAAGUAAGUGAGAAAUGCAUGGUUUUGGUACAGGUGAAAUAAGGAAGAGCAAGAUGAAAGUCAUGGGAAGCAGAAAGUGACAUUUCUAUUUUCCUGAUUAUAUUACUGUAUAUGCAUAUGUAGACAUUGAGUAUUUCUGGUAGAGACUGUUGUAUACUGGACUUCCCAGUAUGUAGCUUUCAUUUCACACAACACUGUGGCAUGAAGACAUUUGCCUUUCAGGGUGUGAAACAAUGCUUGGCAAGUAAGAGUGGAAGCUGCUUUGUCUUGGAAUGGGAGACACAUGUAGUUUGUUUAAAAGUCAAAUCAUUAAGUAUAUAAAUUAAGCUGAAACAGCUAACAUAGGCAUAUGAUUCACCAACGCUGGCUAUGUCAAGAUAAGAUCUGUGCUGGCAUUUUUAUGACCAUAGCGACUCCAGCAAGGAUUCUAUAGUGGUGAGAUAAGUUGAAAGAAGUUACUUGAGUUAAAUUCCAUAGUCAUGGUUAAAUCUGAUCCUCCACAUUUUAAUGAUUUCCUUGAUGUUCACCAAUAUGAUGAUUUGACUGUGAAAAAUUGUUCGUUGAAUUUGGUUAGACCUUGACUAUGUGAGUUGGAAAGAGAGCAGUCCCACAAAAACAAAGAAAGCAACGAACAAAAACCCAUACCGUUUGCGCUACUGUCUGUGAAUUUUGUCCAUGUCAUGUUGAAAAAUUACAAAUGGAAAGACCGUGUUUGUUGCUAAUGGCUAUUCCUAGAUGACUUAAAAUGGACAGAUCUCAGUGUCUUCAAUGUCAUUGUGCAACAGAUUAUUUUUAAAUGUCAAUAUCAAUCUAUACAUGCUUCCUGAACUGAAAUAUGAUUUGGGAAUGGAAUUGGAUAUGACCUCCACACAGUGAAAUCUACCAGAUCAUGAUAUGGCAAUAAAAUAUUGAUAGCGCUUGCAAAUUGAUCAUUGGAGAGGUGCUUGGGAAGUGU